RNAcentral lists this microRNA precursor (94 nucleotides) under Branchiostoma floridae (Florida lancelet). RNAcentral describes it as "mir-2060 microRNA precursor family". It matches the Rfam family "mir-2060 microRNA precursor family". The record is from Rfam by way of RNAcentral. Lineage: Eukaryota; Metazoa; Chordata; Leptocardii; Amphioxiformes; Branchiostomatidae.
AUUUGGCUGUGUGCAGAUGGUGUUCAGCACCAAGGGCAGGCAUGUUUGGCUGUGUGUUGAUGGUGUUCAGCACCAAGGGCAGGCAUAUUUGGCU